AGAUUGAACGCUGGCGGCAGGCCUAACACAUGCAAGUCGAGCGGUAGAGAGGUGCUUGCACCUCUUGAGAGCGGCGGACGGGUGAGUAAUGCCUAGGAAUCUGCCUAGUGGUGGGGGAUAACGUUCGGAAACGGACGCUAGUACCGCAUACGUCCUACGGGAGAAAGCGGGGGACCUUCGGGCCUCGCGCCAUUAGAUGAGCCUAGGUCGGAUUAGCUAGUUGGUGAGGUAAUGGCUCACCAAGGCGACGAUCCGUAACUGGUCUGAGAGGAUGAUCAGCCACACUGGAACUGAGACACGGUCCAGACUCCUACGGGAGCAGCAGUGGGAAUAUGGACAAGUGGGCGCAAGCCUGACUCCAGCCAUACCGCGUGGGUGAAGGAAGGCCUUCGGUUAGUAAAGUCCCUUUUGGUUAGGAAAGAAAAGCAUUACGGUUAAUACCGGUAGUUC
Molecule: ribosomal RNA, 450 nt
Filed under: uncultured soil bacterium
Lineage: Bacteria
Description: bacterial SSU rRNA
Rfam family: Bacterial small subunit ribosomal RNA
Source: RNAcentral